This is a long non-coding RNA of Haliotis rubra (blacklip abalone), 415 nucleotides long. RefSeq lists it as uncharacterized. The transcript is spliced from 2 exons. Lineage: Eukaryota; Metazoa; Mollusca; Gastropoda; Lepetellida; Haliotidae. The record is from RefSeq and is a predicted model, not a curated record.
UGGGAGGUUCAGAUGUCUCCACGGCUGAUGAACAUGUCACAUUCGCCUGCAGAGUAUCGCUGUUGCUGGAUACCUGCGUUGAGAAAGCCUAUGGUUCCUGUCCGAAGAGAACAGCAGAGGUCCUGAAAGAAGUGAUCAAGUACAAUAGACCAGCUGGCUGUGACGCUUGUGUCUCCAAGCCGUCUCUACUCCUCCUGUUGGUCUCAGUGUUGACAUUCAUGCUGGCUUUGUUCAAGUAGAUACCCUAGUGACAUACCCCAUUCUACACAUAUAUGUGUGCUGGAGCUGUUGUUUUCUUUACUUAUGAACAUAUACUCAUGGAAACAAAUAAGGGAACACAUGAAACUACAAGUGUUCCUUUUUUUAUUUCCAGAAUUUCACCCACAGUGCAAUAAAUACCUUGUGAAGAAAGCUG